This 424-nucleotide ribosomal RNA is filed under the name uncultured prokaryote. RNAcentral describes it as "bacterial SSU rRNA". It matches the Rfam family "Bacterial small subunit ribosomal RNA", at positions 355 to 796 of the family's 1533-position model. The record is from RNAcentral.
UGGGGAAUAUUGGACAAUGGGGGCAACCCUGAUCCAGCCAUGCCGCGUGAGUGAUGAAGGCCUUAGGGUUGUAAAGCUCUUUUGGCAGGGACGAUAAUGACGGUACCUGCAGAAUAAGCCCCGCCUAACUUCGUGCCAGCAGCCGCGGUAAUACAGAGGGGGCAAGCGUUGUCCGGACUUACUGGGCGUAAAGCGCACGCAGGUGGUAAGGCAAGUGGGGUGUGAAAGCCGCCAGCUUAACUGGCGGAGGCCAUCCCAAACUGCUUCACUUGAGGCCUGUAGAGGUAUGUGGAAUUGCCGGUGUAGUGGUGAAAUGCGUAGAGAUCGGCAGGAACACCCAGGGGGAAACCAGCAUACUGGACAGGGCCUGACACUCAGGUGCGACAGCGUGGGGAGCGAACCGGAUUAGAUACCCGCGUAGUCC